RNAcentral lists this ribosomal RNA (472 nucleotides) under uncultured organism. RNAcentral describes it as "partial 16S ribosomal RNA". It matches the Rfam family "Bacterial small subunit ribosomal RNA", at positions 333 to 797 of the family's 1533-position model. The record is from RNAcentral.
ACACUCCUACGGGAGGCAGCAGUAGGGAAUCUUCCACAAUGGGUGCAAACCUGAUGGAGCAAUGCCGCGUGAGUGAAGAAGGUCUUCGGAUCGUAAAGCUCUGUUGUUAGAGAAGAACACGUGCUAGGUAACUACUAGCGCCUUGACGGUAUCUAACCAGAAAGUCACGGCUAACUACGUGCCAGCAGCCGCGGUAAUACGUAGGUGACAAGCGUUGUCCGGAUUUAUUGGGCGUAAAGGGAGCGCAGGCGGUCUGUUUAGUCUAAUGUGAAAGCCCACGGCUUAACCGUGGAACGGCAUUGGAAACUGACAGACUUGAAUGUAGAAGAGGAAAAUGGAAUUCCAAGUGUAGCGGUGGAAUGCGUAGAUAUUUGGAGGAACACCAGUAGCGAAGGCGAUUUUCUGGUCUAACAUUGACGCUGAGGCUCGAAAGCGUGGGGAGCGAACAGGAUUAGAUACCCGUGUAGUCCCA